GGGGAAAGAAUAUGAUAUUCCAAAGGGUCAUAUAAUUGCCACAUCACCAGCUUUCGCUAAUCGACUUCCUCAUGUUUAUAAGGAACCAGACAGGUAUGAUCCAGACAGGUUUGCACCUGGGAGAGAUGAAGACAAGGCGGCUGGACCAUUCUCCUACAUCUCAUUCGGAGGUGGCAGGCAUGGUUGCCUCGGCGAACCCUUCGCUUAUCUACAGAUAAAGGCAAUAUGGAGUCAUUUGCUAAGAAAUUUCGAACUGGAGCUAAUAUCUCCUUUUCCUGAAAUUGAUUGGAAUGCCAUGGUUGUAGGUGUCAAAGGGAAAGUUAUGGUUAGGUACAAGAGGAGGAAGCUUUCAGUUAGUUAAUGGGAAGAACGUUGAAGUCUUUGUAAGCUUAACA
Molecule: unclassified non-coding RNA, 395 nt
Filed under: Hevea brasiliensis (rubber tree)
Lineage: Eukaryota; Viridiplantae; Streptophyta; Magnoliopsida; Malpighiales; Euphorbiaceae
Source: RNAcentral